GAUGAACGCUGGCGGCGUGCCUAAUACAUGCAAGUCGAGCGAACGGACGAGAAGCUUGCUUCUCUGAUGUUAGCGGCGGACGGGUGAGUAACACGUGGAUAACCUACCUAUAAGACUGGGAUAACUUCGGGAAACCGUAGCUAAUACCGGAUAAUAUUUUGAACCGCAUGGUUCAAAAGUGAAAGACGGUCUUGCUGUCACUUAUAUAUGGAUCCGCGCUGCAUUAGCUAGUUGGUAAGGUAACGGCUUACCAAGGCAACGAUGCAUAGCCGACCUGAGAGGGUGAUCGGCCACACUGGAACUGAGACACGGUCCAGACUCCCACGGGAGGCAGCAGUAGGGAAUCUUCCGCAAUGGGCGAAAGCCUGACGGAGCAACGCCGCGUGAGUGAUGAAGGUCUUCGGAUCGUAAAACUCUGUUAUUAGGGAAGAACAUAUGUGUAAGUAACUGUGCACAUCUUGACGGUACCUAAUCAGAAAGCCACGGCUAACUACGUG
This 497-nucleotide ribosomal RNA is filed under the name uncultured bacterium. Its description in RNAcentral is "partial 16S ribosomal RNA". It matches the Rfam family "Bacterial small subunit ribosomal RNA", at positions 28 to 507 of the family's 1533-position model. The record is from RNAcentral.